Drosophila innubila is the source of this 80-nucleotide small nucleolar RNA. RefSeq annotates it as small nucleolar RNA Me18S-Gm1358. Lineage: Eukaryota; Metazoa; Arthropoda; Insecta; Diptera; Drosophilidae. The record is from RefSeq and is a predicted model, not a curated record. The transcript has a single exon.
GUUUCAAAAUGAUGAUACUUUCCAUGCACCACUCUGAAGCCUUUUAGGCUAUUUGCAGAUUAUGGAUAUGCUGAUAUAUG